GAUGAAGAACGUAGCGAAAUGCGAUAAGUAAUGCGAAUUGCAGAAUUUCCGUGAAUCAUCGAAUCUUUGAACGCACAUUGCGCCCGCCAGCAUUCUGGCGGGCAUGCCUGUUCGAGCGUCAUUUCAACCCUCGACCUCCCUUUGGGGAAGUCGGCGUUGGGGACCGGCAGCACACCGCCGGCCCUGAAAUGGAGUGGCGGCCCGUCCGCGGCGACCUCUGCGUAGUAAACCAACUCGCACCGGAACCCCGACGUGGCCACGCCGUAAAACACCCAACUUCUGAACGUUGACCUCGAAUCAGGUAGGACUACCCGCUGAACUUAAGCAUAUCAAUAAGCGGAGGA
This 344-nucleotide unclassified non-coding RNA is filed under the name soil metagenome. RNAcentral describes it as "partial contains 5.8S ribosomal RNA, internal transcribed spacer 2, and large subunit ribosomal RNA". The stretch from base 1 to 121 matches the Rfam family "5.8S ribosomal RNA", at positions 35 to 154 of the family's 154-position model. The record is from RNAcentral.